UUGUCAGGGAAGAAACGGKUAGUGCCGAAUAACUAUUCCUAUUGCCGGUACCUUGAAGAAUAAGCACCGSCUAACUACGUGCCAGCAGCCCGCGGUAAUACGUAGGUUCCAAGCGUUAAUCGGAAUUACUGGCCGUAAAGCGUGCGCAGGCGGUUGUGUAAGUCAGAUGUGAAAUCCCCGGGCUCAACCUGGGAAUUGCAUUUGAGACUGCACGGCUAGAGUGUGUCAGAGGGGGGUAGAAUUCCACGUGUAGCAGUGAAAUGCGUAGAUAUGUGGAGGAAUACCGAUGGCGAAGGCASCCCCCUGGGAUAACACUGACGCUCAUGCACGAAAGCGUGGGGASCACACGGGAUUAGAUACCCUGGUAGUCCACRCCCUAAACGAKGUCUACUAGUUGUCGGGUCUUAAUUGACUUGGUAACNCAGCUAACGCGGAAGUAGCCCSSCUGGGGAGUACCGUUCCCAAGAUUAAAACUCAAAGGAAUUGACGGGACCCGCACAAGCGGUGGAUGAUGUGGAUUAAUUCGAUGCAACGCGAAAAACCUUACCUACCCUUGACAUGGAUGGAAUCCUGAAGAGAUUUGGGAGUGCUCGAAAGAGAACCAUCACACAGGUGCUGCAUGGCUGUCGUCAGCUCGUGUCGUGAGAUGUUGGGUUAAGUCCCGCAACGAGCGCAACCCUUGUCAUUAGUUGCUACGAAAGGGCACUCUAAUGAGACUGCCGGUGACAAACCGGAGGAAGGUGGGGAUGACGUCAAGUCCUCAUGGCCCUUAUGGGUAGGGCUUCACACGUCAUACAAUGGUACAUACAGAGGGCCGCCAACCCGCGAGGGGGAGCUAAUCCCAGAAAGUGUAUCGUAGUCCGGAUUGGAGUCUGCAACUCGACUCCAUGAAGUUGGAAUCGCUAGUAAUCGCGGAUCAGCAUGUCGCGUGA
RNAcentral lists this ribosomal RNA (932 nucleotides) under unidentified eubacterium RB33. RNAcentral describes it as "bacterial SSU rRNA". It matches the Rfam family "Bacterial small subunit ribosomal RNA", at positions 434 to 1365 of the family's 1533-position model. Lineage: Bacteria; Pseudomonadati; Pseudomonadota; Betaproteobacteria. The record is from RNAcentral.